Molecule: small RNA, 557 nt
Filed under: Pongo abelii (Sumatran orangutan)
Lineage: Eukaryota; Metazoa; Chordata; Mammalia; Primates; Hominidae
Description: retained intron
Source: RNAcentral
GACACACAGCCUCUCUGCCCACCUCUGCUUCCUCUAGGAACACAGGAGUUCCAGAUCACAUCGAGUUCACCAUGAAUUCACUCAGUGAAGCCAACACCAAAUUCAUGUUCGAUCUGUUCCAACAGUUCAGAAAAUCAAAAGAGAACAACAUCUUCUAUUCACCUAUCAGCAUCGCAUCAGCAUUAGGGAUGGUCCUCUUAGGGGCCAAAAACAACACUGCACAACAAAUUAACAAGGUUCUUCACUUUGAUCAAGUCACAGAGAACAUCACAGAAAAAGCUGCAACAUAUCACGUGAGUCACAGAGCACUAUGGUUCAGCUUUAGAUCCCUGAACAGGUCAUAGUUUAAACCUGGAACUCCACAGAAACUAAGAAAAGGCCACUUUUAGGGAAAAUCUUGGACAAAAAGAUUGAGACAUACAGAGUGGGUUGGCAUUUCAUGGCACAUAAUUAUUAUUCCUCCUUUCUGCAUUACUGAAAGACAGUCAGCACCGUACCUCAGAGCAUAGGUCUGGAUCAGGAUAGGCUAGGUUCAAACUCCAGCUUUGCUCUUCACA